GCAGCAGCCGCGGUAAUACGUAGGUGGCAAGCGUUGUCCGGAACUAUUGGGCGUAAAGGGCUCGCAGGCGGUUUCUUAAGUCUGAUGUGAAAGCCCCCGGCUCAACCGGGGAGGGUCAUUGGAAACUGGGAAACUUGAGUGCAGAAGAGGAGAGUGGAAUUCCACGUGUAGCGGUGAAAUGCGUAGAGAUGUGGAGGAACACCAGUGGCGAAGGCGACUCUCUGGUCUGUAACUGACGCUGAGGAGCGAAAGCGUGGGGAGCGAACAGGAUUAGAUACCCGCGUAGUCCCUGUCUCUUAUAC
RNAcentral lists this ribosomal RNA (302 nucleotides) under uncultured bacterium. Its description in RNAcentral is "partial 16S ribosomal RNA". It matches the Rfam family "Bacterial small subunit ribosomal RNA", at positions 508 to 807 of the family's 1533-position model. The record is from RNAcentral.